This 367-nucleotide ribosomal RNA is filed under the name Pelecanus occidentalis. RNAcentral describes it as "partial 12S ribosomal RNA". It matches the Rfam family "Bacterial small subunit ribosomal RNA", at positions 800 to 1361 of the family's 1533-position model. The record is from RNAcentral. Lineage: Eukaryota; Metazoa; Chordata; Aves; Pelecaniformes; Pelecanidae.
CCCUAAAUCUUGAUACCUGCCCCACUAAAGUAUCCGCCUGAGAACUACGAGCACAAACGCUUAAAACUCUAAGGACUUGGCGGUGCUCCAAACCCACCUAGAGGAGCCUGUCCUAUAAUCGAUAAUCCACGAUGCACCCAACCACUCCUUGCCAAUGCAGCCUACAUACCGCCGUCGCCAGCCCACCUCCCCUGAGAGAGCCAUAGUGAGCAUAAUAGCCUACCACGCUAGCAAGACAGGUCAAGGUAUAGCCUAUGAAGUGGAAGAGAUGGGCUACAUUUUCUAAAUUAGAAAACCCCACGAAAGAGGGCAUGAAACUGCCCCCCGGAAGGCGGAUUUAGCAGUAAAGAGGGACAAUAGAGCCCCC